Molecule: non-coding RNA, 486 nt
Organism: Lepisosteus oculatus (spotted gar)
Lineage: Eukaryota; Metazoa; Chordata; Actinopteri; Semionotiformes; Lepisosteidae
Source: RefSeq, a predicted model, not a curated record
CCCUGCACAAGCCCUGGGCCCUGACCUUCUCGUACGGCCGCGCGCUGCAGGCCUCCGCGCUGAAGGCCUGGGCAGGCAAGAAGGAGAAUGCCAAGGCCUCCCAGGAGGAGUACAUCAAGAGAGCAACGACUAACAGCCAGGCUGCGGUCGGGAAGUAUGUUCCCACUGGAGACAAGGGCGCAGCCGCCGGAGAAUCCCUGUUCGUCGCCAACCACGCCUACUGAGAACACUCCACCCCUGAUGAAGACACGCCCACUGUCUUGACAUCAUCAUGGUGGGGGCGGGACUCUUGAGGGGAAACGUGCCGAGACGGACAGCGCCUUCAGCCAAUUGGGCGCCUGCGUUUGUGUAGUUAACUGUGCUGUCCUGGUAGUUGUAGACCCUUCUGUGUGAUGUCACUUCCUGUUCCAUGUUGUGCCUUCUCUCUCCUUUUUGCCUCUAAUAUUGGGGGAAAAAAAUAAAUAAAGGUAACCCACAAAUGCUGGA